GUGCCUAACACAUGCAAGUCGAACGGAGUUUAUGAAGUUUUCGGACGGAUUAAACUUAGUGGCGGACGGGUGAGUAACGCGUGGGUAACCUGCCUCAUACAGGGGGAUAACAGUUGGAAACGGCUGCUAAAACCGCAUAACAUUGCGACACCGCAUGGUGAUGCAAUUAAAUAUUUAUAGGUAUGAGAUGGGCCCGCGUCUGAUUAGCUAGUUGGUGAGGUAAUGGCCCACCAAGGCGACGAUCAGUAGCCGGCUUGAGAGAGUGACCGGCCACAUUGGGACUGAGACACGGCCCAAACUCCUACGGGAGGCAGCAGUGGGGAAUAUUGCACAAUGGGGGAAACCCUGAUGCAGCGACGCCGCGUGAGUGA
RNAcentral lists this ribosomal RNA (371 nucleotides) under uncultured bacterium. RNAcentral describes it as "bacterial SSU rRNA". It matches the Rfam family "Bacterial small subunit ribosomal RNA", at positions 44 to 408 of the family's 1533-position model. The record is from RNAcentral.